GACGAACGCUGGCGGCGUGCUUAACACAUGCAAGUCGAACGGAAAGGCCCUGCUUUUGUGGGGUGCUCGAGUGGCGAACGGGUGAGUAACACGUGAGUAACCUGCCCUUGACUUUGGGAUAACUUCAGGAAACUGGGGCUAAUACCGGAUAGGAGCUCCUGCUGCAUGGUGGGGGUUGGAAAGUUUCGGCGGUUGGGGAUGGACUCGCGGCUUAUCAGCUUGUUGGUGGGGUAGUGGCUUACCAAGGCUUUGACGGGUAGCCGGCCUGAGAGGGUGACCGGCCACAUUGGGACUGAGAUAGGGACCAGACUCCUACGGGAGGCAGCAGGGGGGAAUAUUGCACAAUGGGCGGAAGCCUGAUGCAGAAACGCCGCGUGCGGGAUGACGGCCUUCGGGUUGUAAACCGCUUUCGCCUGUGACGAAGCGUGAGUGACGGUAAUGGGUAAAGAAGCACCGGCUAACUACGUG
Molecule: ribosomal RNA, 468 nt
Filed under: uncultured bacterium
Lineage: Bacteria
Description: partial 16S ribosomal RNA
Rfam family: Bacterial small subunit ribosomal RNA
Source: RNAcentral